UACGGAGGAUGCAAGCGUUAUCCGGAUUCAUUGGGUUUAAAGGGUGCGUAGGCGGGCUAUUAAGUCAGUGGUGAAAUCCUGCAGCUUAACUGCAGAACUGCCGUUGAUACUGAUAGUCUUGAGUUUGGUUAAGGUAGGCGGAAUGUGUAAUGUAGCGGUGAAAUGCUUAGAUAUUACACAGAACACCAAUUGCGUAGGCAGCUUACUGAGCCGACACUGACGCUGAGGCACGAAAGCGUGGGGAUCGAACAGGA
RNAcentral lists this ribosomal RNA (254 nucleotides) under uncultured prokaryote. RNAcentral describes it as "partial 16S ribosomal RNA". It matches the Rfam family "Bacterial small subunit ribosomal RNA", at positions 524 to 777 of the family's 1533-position model. The record is from RNAcentral.